RNAcentral lists this unclassified non-coding RNA (306 nucleotides) under uncultured Madurella. RNAcentral's name for it is "sequence contains ITS1". The stretch from base 1 to 105 matches the Rfam family "5.8S ribosomal RNA", at positions 50 to 154 of the family's 154-position model. Lineage: Eukaryota; Fungi; Ascomycota. The record is from RNAcentral.
GAAAUGCGAUAAGUAAUGUGAAUUGCAGAAUUCAGUGAAUCAUCGAAUCUUUGAACGCACAUUGCGCCCGCCAGCACUCUGGCGGGCAUGCCUGUUCGAGCGUCAUUUCGACCAUCAAGCGCCCCUCUCCGGGUGCUUGUGUUGGGGACCUGCGGCUGCCCGCAGGCCCCGAAAACCAGUGGCGGGCUCGCUGUCACCCCGAGCGUAGUAGUUCUCGCCUCGCUCAGGGACGUGCUGCGGGUGUUCCGGCCGUUAAAGCCCCCAAAGGUUGACCUCGGAUCAGGUAGGAAUACCCGCUGAACUUAA